GAGUGGCCCCAUAAGAAAAACCAAAACUCCCUUUCAAUAGCAUGGAGGACUUUAAUAGGAAAAGAAAUACAUAAUAAAUAAUAUAGAUAAAUUGACGAGAGUAGUGACUGAAGACGGGGUGCUCUCCUUGCAAAAGAGAGUGCUUUCCACUUGCAAUUAGAUAGCUUGGUCAAUAUCAGUUUGAAAGAAAAUUGAAAUGAGUAGCUUUUAGUUUAGAAUCAGCCAUAGGAACC
This 233-nucleotide long non-coding RNA is filed under the name Elaeis guineensis (African oil palm). RNAcentral's name for it is "long non-coding RNA (EGUI_LNC038941)". Lineage: Eukaryota; Viridiplantae; Streptophyta; Magnoliopsida; Arecales; Arecaceae. The record is from RNAcentral.